GACUCCUACGGGAGGCAGCAGUGGGGAAUAUUGCACAAUGGGCGCAAGCCUGAUGCAGCCAUGCCGCGUGUAUGAAGAAGGCCUUAGGGUUGUAAAGUACUUUCAGCGGGGAGGAAGGUGAUAAGGUUAAUACCCUUGUCAAUUGACGUUACCCGCAGAAGAAGCACCGGCUAACUCCGUGCCAGCAGCCGCGGUAAUA
RNAcentral lists this ribosomal RNA (199 nucleotides) under uncultured bacterium. RNAcentral's name for it is "partial 16S ribosomal RNA". It matches the Rfam family "Bacterial small subunit ribosomal RNA", at positions 334 to 525 of the family's 1533-position model. The record is from RNAcentral.